This 390-nucleotide ribosomal RNA is filed under the name Hesperomyces virescens. RNAcentral describes it as "partial large subunit ribosomal RNA". It matches the Rfam family "Eukaryotic large subunit ribosomal RNA", at positions 467 to 866 of the family's 3401-position model. The record is from RNAcentral. Lineage: Eukaryota; Fungi; Ascomycota; Laboulbeniomycetes; Laboulbeniales; Laboulbeniaceae.
GGCCUAGUGUACUCUACCUAUAUUGUGUGCCAGCAUCGGUUUGUUAGUCGAGAGAAAAAGGUAGUGUGUUGUCGAUUCCUCCGGGUAUUUGGCAUGCAUCUACAGGUACAUCUUGAACCCAGACCGAGGACAGCGCUUUUUGCANGGAUGCUGGUGUAAUGGUUGUAAGCGGCCCGUCUUGAAACACGGACCAAGGAGUCCAACAUCCAUGCGAGUGUUUGGAUAUCAAGUCCGUACGCGCAAUGAAAGUGAAUGCAAGUGGGAACUCAUUUAUGUGUGCACCAUUGACCGAUCUUGAUCUUUNGAAAUGGAUUUGAGUAAGAGCAUGGCUGUUGGGACCCGAAAGAUGGUGAACUAUGCCCGCGUAGGCUGAAGUCAGGGGAAACCCUG